RNAcentral lists this unclassified non-coding RNA (336 nucleotides) under soil metagenome. Its description in RNAcentral is "partial contains 5.8S ribosomal RNA, internal transcribed spacer 2, and large subunit ribosomal RNA". The stretch from base 1 to 120 matches the Rfam family "5.8S ribosomal RNA", at positions 35 to 154 of the family's 154-position model. The record is from RNAcentral.
GAUGAAGAACGUAGCGAAAUGCGAUAAGUAAUGUGAAUUGCAGAAUUCAGUGAAUCAUCGAAUCUUUGAACGCACAUUGCGCCCGCCAGUAUUCUGGCGGGCAUGCCUGUUCGAGCGUCAUUUCAACCAUCAAGCCCCAGGCUUGUGUUGGGGACCUGCGGCUGCCGCAGGCCCUGAAAACCAGUGGCGGGCUCGCUGUCACACCGGGCGUAGUAGAUUUUAUCUCGCUCAGGGCGUGCUGCGGGUUCCGGCUGUUAAAAAGCCUUUUUUACCCAAGGUUGACCUCGGAUCAGGUAGGAAUACCCGCUGAACUUAAGCAUAUCAAUAAGCGGAGGA